Coturnix japonica (Japanese quail) is the source of this 354-nucleotide non-coding RNA. Lineage: Eukaryota; Metazoa; Chordata; Aves; Galliformes; Phasianidae. The record is from RefSeq and is a predicted model, not a curated record.
GUCCCACAUGUGCCCUGUGUCUCAUCGCAGGAUGUGGGAUGUGAGAAGGGCCCAGUCUGAACAAGCAGUCAAUCCCUGUGAAACUCUGAACUUCAGAUCUCUCAGUUCCAGUGCCCUCCUUUGCACAUUCUCCCAGAGUUUGAAGUCCUUUAUGUUCUGCGGUGCACAAUCAGGCACUUGUUCUUGUUAUACUUUAUGCACUUGGUGCUUAGUACCAACUGGUACCCACUUCUCUGACUUGUCCACAUCUCUCUGCAAGUCCUCUCCACCCUCAGUGGAGGCAACAGCACCUCCUCAUCUGGUCUCAUCAGCAAACUUGCUCAGAACGUCUUCUAGUCCUGCAUGCAAGUCAUC